RNAcentral lists this ribosomal RNA (286 nucleotides) under uncultured soil bacterium. Its description in RNAcentral is "partial 16S ribosomal RNA". It matches the Rfam family "Bacterial small subunit ribosomal RNA", at positions 26 to 315 of the family's 1533-position model. The record is from RNAcentral.
AGAUUGAACGCUGGCGGCAUGCCUUACACAUGCAAGUCGAACGGCAGCACAGGAGCAAUCCUGGUGGCGAGUGGCGAACGGGUGAGUAAUACAUCGGAACGUGCCCAGUUGUGGGGGAUAGCCCGGCGAAAGCCGGAUUAAUACCGCAUACGACCUACGGGUGAAAGCGGGGGAUCGCAAGACCUCGCGCUAUUGGAGCGGCCGAUGUCGGAUUAGCUUGUUGGUAGGUAAAAGCCUACCAAGGCUACGAUCCGUAGCUGGUCUGAGAGGACGACCAGCCACACGU